Molecule: ribosomal RNA, 659 nt
Filed under: bacterium fme09x41p153
Lineage: Bacteria
Description: bacterial SSU rRNA
Rfam family: Bacterial small subunit ribosomal RNA
Source: RNAcentral
GCUACACAUGCAGUCGAGCGAGAUCUUCGGAUCUAGCGGCGGACGGGUUAGUAACGCGUGGGAAUAUACCCUUUGGUACGGAAUAGCCUCGGGAAACUGGGAGUAAUACCGUAUGAGCCCUUCGGGGGAAAGAUUUAUCGCCAAAGGAUUAGCCCGCGUUGGAUUAGAUAGUUGGUGGGGUAAUGGCCUACCAAGUCGACGAUCCAUAGCUGGUUUGAGAGGAUGAUCAGCAACACUGGGACUGAGACACGGCCCAGACUCCUACGGGAGGCAGCAGUGGGGAAUCUUAGACAAUGGGCGCAAGCCUGAUCUAGCCAUGCCGCGUGGACGAUGAAGGCCUUAGGGUUGUAAAGUCCUUUCAGCUGGGAAGAUAAUGACGGUACCAGCAGAAGAAGCCCCGGCUAACUCCGUGCCAGCAGCCGCGGUAAUACGGAGGGGGCUAGCGUUGUUCGGAAUUACUGGGCGUAAAGCGCACGUAGGCGGAUUAUUAAGUGAGGGGUGAAAUCCCAGGGCUCAACCCUGGAACUGCCUCUCAUACUGGUAGUCUUGAGUUCGAGAGAGGUGAGUGAAUCCGAGUGUAGAGGUGAAAUUCGUAGAUAUUCGAGGACACCAGUGGCGAGCGGCUCACUGCUCGAUACUGACGCUGAGUGCGAAAGCGU